This 549-nucleotide ribosomal RNA is filed under the name Pelophylax ridibundus (marsh frog). RNAcentral's name for it is "partial 16S ribosomal RNA". It matches the Rfam family "Bacterial large subunit ribosomal RNA", at positions 1858 to 2620 of the family's 2925-position model. The record is from RNAcentral. Lineage: Eukaryota; Metazoa; Chordata; Amphibia; Anura; Ranidae.
CCUGCCCAGUGACAAAGUUUAACGGCCGCGGUACCCUAACCGUGCGAAGGUAGCAUAAUCACUUGUUCUUUAAAUAGGGACUCGUAUCAACGGCAUCACGAGGGCUAUACUGUCUCCUUUCUCCAAUCAGUGAAACUGAUCUUCCCGUGAAGAAGCGGGAAUUAUCAUAUAAGACGAGAAGACCCCAUGGAGCUUUAAACUCAAUAUAUAUUUCUACGCAUUUAUAUCACUAUAGCCCAAGAAAACUAUAUGUUGGUUUUGGGUUGGGGGGACCGCGGAGAAAAAAUUAACCUCCACGACAAAUAGGCCAACGCCUUUAUCUACGAACCACAAUUCUAAGAAUCAAUAAACUGAUGUUUAAUGAUCCAAUUUUUUUGAUCAACGAACCAAGUUACCCUGGGGAUAACAGCGCAAUCUACUUCAAGAGCUCCUAUCGACAAGUGGGUUUACGACCUCGAUGUUGGAUCAGGGUAUCCUAGUGGUGCAGCCGCUACUAAAGGUUCGUUUGUUCAACGAUUAAAACCCUACGUGAUCUGAGUUCAGACGGGA